This 305-nucleotide ribosomal RNA is filed under the name uncultured bacterium. RNAcentral's name for it is "bacterial SSU rRNA". It matches the Rfam family "Bacterial small subunit ribosomal RNA", at positions 337 to 659 of the family's 1533-position model. The record is from RNAcentral.
GCCUACGGGAGGCAGCAGUAGGGAAUAUUGCUCAAUGGGGGAAACCCUGAAGCAGCAACGCCGCGUGGAGGAUGAAGGUUUUCGGAUUGUAAACUCCUUUUGUUAGAGAAGAUAAUGACGGUAUCUAACGAAUAAGCACCGGCUAACUACGUGCCAGCAGCCGCGGUAAUACGUAGGGUGCAAGCGUUAUCCGGAUUUACUGGGUGUAAAGGGCGAGUAGACGGCGUUGCAAGUCAGAUGUGAAAGGCUAGGGCUCAACCUUAGGAGAGCAUCUGAAACUGUAAUGCUAGAGUGCAGGAGAGGUA